CUUUUCUGUUCUACCUGAUAAUGAAUUGCACCCACAAUACAGUCAGGGACAGAUAUUUAGGCAACACAGUGAUAUGGAUUAUUGUACUGCAUUACAGGUACGCCCAAUGUAAUAGAUCAUUAAUAGUAGUCAGAUCUUGGUGAAUAAACACUGUCGCAGGUAGUGCACUGCAUACCAGGUGCUACUGAACAUCUGGUUUAUGAGUUGAUAGUCUGGUACUGGAGAUUAUAGUAAUGUCAUGGAGGUGGUACAGUAGAUUAUAAUUAUAGUAAUGUCAUGGAGGUGGUACAGUAGAUUAUAGUAAUGUCAUGGAGGUGGUACAGUAGGUUAUAGUAAUGUCAUGGAGGUGGUAUAGUAGUUUAUAGUAAUGUUAUGGAGGUGGUACAGUAGAUUAUAGUAAUGUCAUGGAGGUGGUACAGUAGAUUAUAGUAAUGUCAUGGAGGUGGUACAGUAGAUUAUAGUAAUGUCAUGGAGGUGGUACAGUAGAUUAUAGUAAUGCCAUGGAGGUGGUACAGUAGAUUAUAGUAAUGUCAUGGAGGUGGUAUAGUAGUUUAUAGUACUAGUAAUGUCAUGGAGGUGGUAUAGUAGUUUAUAGUACUAGUAAUGUCAUGGAGGUGGUACAGUAGGUUAUAGUAAUGUCAUGGAGGUGGUACAGUAGGUUAUAGUAAUGUCAUGGAGGUGGUACAGUAGAUUAUAGUAAUGUCAUGGAGGUGGUACAGUAGGUUAUAGUAAUGUCAUGGAGGUGGUAUAGUAGUUUAUAGUACUAGUAAUGUCAUGGAGGUGGUACAGUAGAUUAUAGUAAUAGUAAUGUCAUGGAGGUGGUACAGUAGAUUAUAGUAAUGCCAUGGAGGUGGCACAGUAGAUUAUAGUAAUGCCAUGGAGGUGGUACAGUAGAUUAUAGUAAUGCCAUGGAGGUGGUACAGUAGAUUAUAGUAAUGCCAUGGAGGUGGUACAGUAGAUUAUAGUAAUGCCAUGGAGGUGGUACAGUAGAUUAUAGUAAUGCCAUGGAGGUGGUACAGUAGAUUAUAGUAAUGCCAUGGAGGUGGUACAGUAGAUUAUAGUAAUGUCAUGGAGGUGGUACAGUAGAUUAUAGUACUAGUAAUGUCAUGGAGGUGGUACAGUAGGUUAUAGUAAUGUCAUGGAGGUGGUACAGUAGGUUAUAGUAAUGUCAUGGAGGUGGUACAGUAGAUUAUAGUAAUGUCAUGGAGGUGGUACAGUAGGUUAUAGUAAUGUCAUGGAGGUGGUAUAGUAGUUUAUAGUACUAGUAAUGUCAUGGAGGUGGUACAGUAGGUUAUAGUAAUGUCAUGGAGGUGGUACAGAAGAUUAUAGUAAUAGUAAUGUCAUGGAGGUGGUACAGUAGAUUAUAUUAAUAGUAAUGUCAUGGAGGUGGUACAGUAGAUUAUAGUAAUAAUAAUGUCAUGGAGGUGGUACAGUAGAUUAUAGUAAUAAUAAUGUCAUGGAGGGGGUACAGUAGAUUAUAGUAAUGCCAUGGAGAUGGUAUAGUAGAUUAUAGUAAUGCCAUGGAGAUGGUAUAGUAGAUUAUAGUAAUGCCAUGGAGGUGGUACAGUAGAUUAUAGUAAUGUCAUGGAGGUGGUACAGUAGAUUAUAGUAAUGUCAUGGAGGUGGUAUAGUAGUUUAUAGUACUAGUAAUGUCAUGGAGGUGGUACAGUAGGUUAUAGUAAUGUCAUGGAGGUGGUACAGAAUAUUAUAGUAAUAGUAAUGUCAUGGAGGUGGUACAGUAGUUUAUAGUACUAGUAAUGUCAUGGAGGUGGUACAGUAGGUUAUAGUAAUUUCAUCCCUAAAGCCAACACCUCAUUUGGCCGCCUUUCGUUCCAGUACUCUGCUGCCUGUGACUGGAACGAAUUGCAAAAAUCGCUGAAGUCGGAGACUUUUAUCUCCCUCACCAACUUCAAACAUCAGCUAUCUGAGCAGCUAACCGAUCGCUGCUGCUGUACAUAGUCUAUUGGUAAAUAGCCCACCCAUUUUCACCUACCUCAUCCCCAUACUGUUUUUAUUUAUUUACUUGCUCUUUUGCACACCAAUAUCUCUACCUGUACAUGACCAUCUGAUCAUUUUUCACUCCAGUGUUAAUCUGCAAAAUUGUAAUUAUUCGCCUACCUCCUCAUGCCUUUUGCACACAUUGUAUAUAGACUCCCCCCUUUGUUUUCUACUGUGUUAUUGACUUGUUAAUUGUUUAUUCCAUGUGUAACUCUGUGUUGUCUGCUCAC
This is a long non-coding RNA of Oncorhynchus tshawytscha (Chinook salmon), 2228 nucleotides long. The record is from Ensembl. NCBI's taxonomy places the organism in Eukaryota, Metazoa, Chordata, Actinopteri, Salmoniformes, Salmonidae.